Molecule: ribosomal RNA, 447 nt
Filed under: uncultured soil bacterium
Lineage: Bacteria
Description: bacterial SSU rRNA
Rfam family: Bacterial small subunit ribosomal RNA
Source: RNAcentral
AGAACGAACGCUGGCGGCAUGCCUAACACAUGCAAGUCGAACGAGACCUUCGGGUCUAGUGGCGCACGGGUGCGUAACGCGUGGGAAUCUGCCCUUGGGUUCGGGAUAACAGUUGGAAACGACUGCUAAUACCGGAUGAUGACUUCGGUCCAAAGAUUUAUUGCCCAGGGAUGAGCCCGCGUAGGAUUAGCUAGUUGGUGAGGUAAAGGCUCACCAAGGCGACGAUCCUUAGCUGGUCUGAGAGGGUGAUCAGCCACACUGGGACUGAGACACGGCCCAGACUCCUACGGGAGGCAGCAGUGGGGAAUAUUGGACAAUGGGCGAAAGCCUGAUCCAGCAAUGCCGCGUGAGUGAUGAAGGCCUUAGGUUGUAAAGCUCUUUUACCCGGGAAGAUAAUGACUGUAACCGGGAGAAGUAAGCCCCGGCUAACUCCGUGCCAGCAGCCGC